Molecule: long non-coding RNA, 296 nt
Organism: Osmia bicornis bicornis
Lineage: Eukaryota; Metazoa; Arthropoda; Insecta; Hymenoptera; Megachilidae
Exons: 3
Source: RefSeq, a predicted model, not a curated record
UCAAAAGUGUUGCAGUUAUUCGGCGUAUAUUUGCAGACGCAGAAGGAAAUUCAUUGAACAGGAACCACUACUAUUACUACCAAGUACAAGGACAAUUACAUGUCACAGAUUUUCGAAGAAAGGAUUCCCGAGAAGAGGUUUUUUGGAGCGAAGCGAGCGUAUAUUCAAGAAAGCAUUACCUACCAGGACAAAUGGACUGCAAAUAUGCUGUCUGAUCACGUAUAAUCGGCAAGUAUAAUGUUACAUAAUUAAUAUUACGUUAUCUAUACAUAAAUUACUUUCUUCACAGAUGGACG